AUAUGGGUAAUUCGAGUUUUUGUGGAGUUGUCAUUCUAUUUUAUUGAAGAUUUUGGUUAAUAUUUUUGUGGAGAGACAUGAAUAUUUGUAUUGAACAAAUAAGUUAGUGUUAUGGAGUGUCUGGUUUAUUUUUAUUGUGUUAGUAGAGUUGAUAUGGAGAAAAUGGAGCUAACCCUCCGGACUUCCUGGAUUGGGACGUUACAUUACAGACAUGUAAAAAGCUUGCGGGGAAAACUCAGGUUCUCCCACUUUUCAACCAGUUCUCUUUGAGAGAGAAUGUUCUCAGGUGGCCGAAGAUAAAGGGUUUUGUUCAGGGUUCGAGGAUCAUCUAUUGUCUUAAUUGUGUAGGUUGCGAUGUCAUCUUCAUCCAUAUAAACCACUACAUGUAGCAAACAUUCAAACCAGCUUUAAUUUAUCGAUGUAAAUAUUGGAAACUGAAAGAAAUUAUUUCUAUUAAUUGAGAGAUAUUGCAAUAUAUAA
Carya illinoinensis is the source of this 480-nucleotide long non-coding RNA. RefSeq lists it as uncharacterized. Lineage: Eukaryota; Viridiplantae; Streptophyta; Magnoliopsida; Fagales; Juglandaceae. The transcript has 2 exons. The record is from RefSeq and is a predicted model, not a curated record.